GACGUAGGGCGCGAGCGUUGUCCGGAUUUAUUGGGCGUAAAGAGCUCGUAGGCGGCUUGUCGCGUCGGCUGUGAAAACCCGCGGCUCAACUGUGGGCGGGCAGCUGAUACGGGCAGGCUAGGAGUUCGGUAGGGGAGACUGGAAUUCCUGGUGUAGCGUGAAAUGCGCAGAUAUCAGGAGGAACACCAGUGGCGAAGGCAGGCACU
RNAcentral lists this ribosomal RNA (206 nucleotides) under uncultured bacterium. Its description in RNAcentral is "partial 16S ribosomal RNA". It matches the Rfam family "Bacterial small subunit ribosomal RNA", at positions 524 to 730 of the family's 1533-position model. The record is from RNAcentral.